This 251-nucleotide small RNA is filed under the name Arabidopsis thaliana (thale cress). RNAcentral describes it as "ATSL268050". Lineage: Eukaryota; Viridiplantae; Streptophyta; Magnoliopsida; Brassicales; Brassicaceae. The record is from RNAcentral.
GAUGUUUAUGAUUGAGUAUAACAACUUAAACCGCAACUAGAGCUUAAAAGCCUAAGUACUGUUUCCCUUGUUAGAAGAUACAAAGCCAAAGACUCAUACAAGAUUUAGCUACAACAUCAAAGCUUUGAGAAGCAACUUGAAGCUUGGUUAGUGUUUUGGAGUGAAAUAUGACUAGAUGUCAUGUGUAUGAGUGAGUAUAACAACUAGAAUCGCAACAAGAUCUAAAGAGCCUAAGUAUUGUAUCCUUGUUA